GGUUUUAUAAUGCCGUAUUUGAUGUCCAAGACAAAUAUUAGGCGAUUCCAGGACGGUUCCAUCCGGGCCCACGACGGAAGGCAUGGGCUAUAUCACACAAAAUUUUGGGACUCGCGCAGAUUUCCAGUUUAUUGGCUAUAAAAUGCCAAAAAUAUAAUGUGGUCAUGGCGGUGCGGUGACAAUGGUUUCUUAGGCCGUAUUUGAUGUCCGGGACAAAUAUUUUCUUAGGCGAUUCCAGGAUGGAUCUAUCCGGGCCCAAAGCAGACGUCAUGGCCCGCCAUGACCAGGACAGAUUUCCAGCCAUAAACUCGCGCGAAUUUCCAGUUUGAUGGCUGUAAAAUACCAAAAAAUGUAAUUUGGUCAUGGAGGGGUGGUGACAAUGAUUCUUAGGCCGUAUUUGAUGUUCGGGAAAAAAUUAGACGAUUUCAGGACGGAUCCAUCUGGGCCUACGAUGGAAGGCAUGGGCUAUAGCACACAAAAAUUUGGGACACGCGCGAAUUUCUAGUUUUAUGGCUGUAUAAUGCCAAAAGAUAUAAUUUGGUCAUGGCGGGGCGGUGAAAAUGAUUUUAUUAUGCCGUAUUUGAUGUCCAAAACAAAUAUUAGGCGAUUCUAGGACGGAUCUAUCCGGGCCCAAAUCAGAAGGCAUGGGGGUAUAGCACACAAAAAUUUGGGACUCAUGCGAAUUUCUAGUUUUAUGGCUGUAUAAUGUCAAAAAAUUUAAUUUGGUCAUGGCGGGGCGGUGACAAUGGUUUCUUAGGCCGUAUUUGAUUUCCAAGACAAAUAUUAGGCGAUUCUAGGACGGAUCUAUCCGGGCCCAAAUCAGAAGGCAUGGGGUAUAGCACACAAAAAUUUGGGACUCGCGCGAAUUUCUAGUUUUAUGGUUGUAAAAUGCCAAAAAUGUAAUUUGGUCAUGGUGGGCGGUGAAAAUGGUUUUAUUAUGCCGUAUUUGAUGUCCAAGACAAAUAAUAGAUGAUUCCAGGACGGAACCAUCCGGGCCCUAGCACAUAAAAAUUU
Molecule: long non-coding RNA, 1014 nt
Filed under: Nicotiana tabacum (common tobacco)
Lineage: Eukaryota; Viridiplantae; Streptophyta; Magnoliopsida; Solanales; Solanaceae
Description: long non-coding RNA (NTAB_LNC000133)
Source: RNAcentral